GUUGUUAAGAUAAUUCUCUUGGGACAGACUGUUAACAUAUCCUAAAUUGAGUAGCUGUCCAGCGAGCAGGCAAGAUUUGGUCCUGUCAUGCCAAGAUUUGUGUGGUAGUACACUCUAAAAAUUAGGGGUUCAACUGGAGUCCUUCUAAGAUCCUCAAAGAACCUUAAGGUUCUUGGCAAUGAAAAACGGCCCCCAAAAGGUUAUUUGAAGAACUUCUUAGGAGGUGGGUUCAUCGAGGAACCCCCAUUGUUGCUGGAGUUCUUCGGGGGAACUUCACAACUGAAAACAUGAAUGCGACAACAGUUUAAAAAGGUAAGCUGGGUUGGUCUCUGAAUAUGUAUCAAAAUAAUUAAUAUAAAAUACCAAUGAAUGACGAAGACCAUUAUGGUCUUCUGUGAAUAGCUUCCUUAACUUUUCUAUAGCUGUCACGCUAGUUAGCUAUGGUACAGUAAAAAUAACUUAAAUAUUAGAAAGUCGGGUUUGCCAGUUGGCGUUGUAUGAGCUACUGUACCGUUAGCUAUGUCCUUACUGGGCAGGACUAGGUUUGUAUUAUUUCCUGAACUAUAUUCUGUCCCAUUUUGUAUAUCAUUUCCGUAAAGCCAACAUGGCUUUACACUCAUUAUUAACGUAAGUUUCCAAUCUAGAGCAGUUCUCAUGUCAGCAUGAACUAGUUAAUGUUAGCUUUGUUGACGCUAGCUAGCCAACACUUUAUUUAGUUGCAUUUUGUUUUAGCUAGCCUACUAAGGACGGUGACCUGUCCAGCCGAGAUGUUACAAUGAACUGAAUCGCAGUAUUUUUACUGUAUGGCUAGUGCUUUCUCCAAUAUGCUCUUCUAUUUUGCAUUCAAGUUUGUCUGACAUUUCUUUCAAUAUUAAUUUAAUAUAUAUAAACAGUUGAAGUUGGAAGUUUACAUACACCUUGGCCAAAUACAUUUAAACUCUGUUUUUCACAAUUCCUGAUAUUUAAUACUGUUUUAGGUCAGUUAGGAUCACCACUUAUUUUAAGAAUGUGAAAUGUCAGAAUGAUUUCUUUCAGCUUUUAUUUCUUUCAUCACAUUCCCAGUGGGUCAGAAGUUUACAUGCACUCAAUUAGUAUGUGGUAGUAUUGCCUUAAACAAUUUAAACAUGGGUCAAAUGUUUCGGGUAGCCUUCCACAAGCUUCCCACAAUAAGUUGGUUGCAUUUUGGCCCAUUUCUCUUGACAGAGCUGGUGUAACUGAGUCACGUUUGUAGGCCUCCUUGCUCGUACACAAUUGUUCUGCACACAAAUUUUCUAUAGGAUCGAGGUCAGGGCUUUGUGAUGGGCACUCCAAUACCUUGAUUUUUCUGUCCUUAAGCCAUUUUGGAACAACUUUGGAAGUAUGGUUGGGGUCAUUGUCCAUUUGGAAGACCCAUUUGCGACCAAGCUUUAACUGAUGUCUUGAGAUGUUGCUUCAAUAUAUCCACACAAUUUUCCUCCCUCAUGAUGCUAUCUAUUUUGAAGUGCAUCAGUACCUCCUGCAGCAAAGCACCCCAACAACAUGAUGCUGCCACCCCCGUGCUUCAUGGUUGGGAUGGUGUUCUUUGGCUUGCAAGCUUCCCCCUUUUUCCUCCAAACAUAACGAUGGUCAUUAUGGCCAAAUGGUUCUAUUUUUGUUUAAUCAGACCAGAGGACAUUUCUCAAAAGUAUGAUAUUUGUCCCCAUGUGCAGUUGCAAAAUGUAGUCUGGCUUUUUAAUGGCAGUUUUGGAGCAGUGGCUUCUUCUUGCUGAGUGGCCUUUCAGGUUAUGUCGAUAUAGGGACUCAUUUUACUGUGGAUAUAGAUACUUUUGUACCCGUUUCCUCCAGCAUAUUCUUGGUCCUUUGCUGUUCUGGGAUUGAUUGCACUUUUCUCACAAAAGUACGUUCAUAUCUAGGAGACAGAACACAUCUCCUACCUGAGCGGUAUGACUGCUGUGUGGUCCCAUGGUUUUAUACUUGCGUACUAUUGUUUGUAUAGAUGAACGUGGUACCUUCAGGUGUUUGGAAAUUGCUCCCAAGGAUGAACCAGACUUGUGGAGGUCUUCAAUUUUUCUUCUGAGGUCUUGGCUGAUUUCUUUUGAUUUUUUUUUCUUCCCAUGAUGUCAAGCAAAGAGGUACUGAGUUUGAAGGUAGGCCUUGAAAUGCAUCCACAGGUACAUCUCCAAUUGACUCAAAUUGUCAAUUAGACUAUCAGAAGCUUCUAAACUCAUGACAUUUUCCAAGCUGUUUUAAAGGCACAGUCAACUUAGUGUAUGUAAACUUCUGACCCACUGUUUCACUGUAUCACAAUUCCAAUCUGUAUGUGAACAAUUGUUGGAAACAUUACUUGUCAUGCUCAAAGUAGAUGUCCGAACUGAAUUGCCAAAACUAUAGUUUAACAAGAAAUUUGUGGAGUAGUUGAAAAAUGACUUUUAAUGACUCCAACCUAAGUGUAUGUAAACUUCUGACUUCAACUGUUCUUUGACACAUUUUCUCUUCCUUUUGAAAUUCUUAUAGAACAGAACAUGGACAAUGCAAUUGGGAUCAAGAAGAAGAUAUUCUCAAAAAUGAAUCGAAUCCAUGGACUGGAUAGAGAAAAUGAAAAUGUAAAGGACUCCGUAAGGCUAGUGGCAAAAUGAUAGCAGAGUUAGAGGUGAGGACAUCAUCCUGCUAUUUCGGCAGUCCCUGAAGGACAAUACAGAAGAGGCACACAGGUAUUUGCUAUAGUUCCUUACCUUUCUCUAAUGUAGUCAAUACAUAGUACAUUAAAUAUGUAUUUUGUAAUAAAAUUAGCAAAUGUAGUAAGAUUGUUGCUUUACUAGGACUCGAGACCACAGCUCUUGCCCUUCUUCAAUGAGGACACGAGUGGCCUUUGUCUGUGACAAGGUUUCACCGCUCCCAACUCCUUUACUGAACAAUGGUGGAAAUUAAUUUCACCAUGCGAGUGAAAUCACGCUGGCCUUUGCUGGGGAGAAAAUCCACGCCCUAGAGGACGCCCACAUGGGACUUGGGUCCCGAGGGCUGUAUUUAAAAAAAGAUAAUUUAAAACAUUUUAUUUUCACUAACAUUUCCCAAAAAUGUCAACACGUUCUUAAGUUGCUGUGUUCUGGGGAUAAGAGAAGUUGGGGUGAAGUUACAAGGGCUGGUCUUAAAGAUGGCAAACUUCCUAACGUAACUAAGUGGUUGAUGGACACACACACUAAAGCAAAAAAAAUCAGUAUUUAGCAUGAAGUCUACAGUAUUGUUAGUUUACUUAUGAUUUGUUUUUAUUGUACAUAAUUACAAUAUUUUUUUCAUAAAUUUAAAAGCUCUAUACAAAGUAAAUGUAUUAUUAUGGUCAGACAUUUUGUGUUUUGUUUAGUGAAUUGUUUUUGUAAAUAUUAAUUCACAUUUGUGGUGCCACUAAAUAACCAAUUAUUUAAAUCAAUAUUGUUAUUAAAUAUUGUAUAUGGAGUUACAUUUUUCGCUCUGAGACCUUGAAGUAGUUUUUUCACUUGAUCUGCAAGUGCCGUGGCUUUUGUGGCGCGAUCGGUAACGAUGCUUCUUGGGAUGUUGAUAUGUGCAGAGUGUCCCUGGUUCGAGAAGAGGGACGGAAGAAACAGUUACACCUGCUAAAUCUAAUUUCUGAGAGAGAAGUAGGCAUAGAUCAAUAUCUUUGUCUCUGUCGCCCUAUUCCAUCAUUAGGCCUAUGCCCCAUGAAUGUUGGUAGUUUUUGUUGCCAGUACAAACUCCACAUCAAAGUCAAUUUAUAACACAGAUUUUAGUUUUGUUUUAUAUCAUAGAGGACAGAGGUAUUUGGGCAGUUCCAUGAUAACGGAGUUACUCGUUGACUCCGAGUUUUCACUAUAAAAUGUGUGCCAAACAAAAACCAUUGAUUUUAAACUGUAUAUAGACUUUGUUUUAUUUUGUUCUGCUGUAUUAAUGACUAUGUUUUGUUUAGUCCAUGUGUAACUGUCUGUCGAAUUGCUACGUUUUAUCUUGGCCAGGUCGCAGUUGCAAAUGAGAACUUGUUCUCAACUAGCCUACCUGGUUAAAUGGAAAACAACUUUUCGCAAACCAUAUAAGGACUGCGUUGAAAAAUGUACACGUCAAAAACACAUUUACUGGAAGAACUGUGCAGAUGCAAAGAUUGGUGACAGAAUUACAAUAAAAUUUCUUUUGCGACCACGUUUUCCAAAAACCCUGUUAACCCUUUACACUCGCUAGUUGAAAAUGACAGAUUUUCCCACUGAUAAGCGCCUAAAUUGGACCGCAGUGGCUGUACAGCAACUUGCUAUAAAUGUCAGAGCUCAGGUCUCCUUCACAACACUGUAUGGGUUUUGAAUGACAGCCGUCCUGAAUUUGAGCACCGCACACAACAAGAAGUUGCCCCCAUCUCUCCAACUAAUUAGGCAACUUUUUUGCCUGAGUGAGCGAAAUGCUGAAAAUUAAGAGGACUGUAUGUAUUUUGAAAGAUGAGAUGUUGAGGAUUAUAAUAAAUGUCAUACAAGCAAGCCAAACAGCUGAGUCCAAAUGUGUACUUCAUAUAAAAAAAACUCCGGUCAUAAAAAAGCAAUUUAUAGUUAAUUACUCGAGUCAUAAAAGUGCAUAGAAAUUACUUAGGUACUGUGCACACUUUGGAGAUAUGUGUGGUCACCUGGAGACACUAGUUAGUCCUCUCACUCAAACACUUGUUUUUCACACACCCCACAUUUCCAGGAUAUUUUUUUAUCAUGUUACUGAAUGUAUCCAGAGUAUUUUCUGAUUUCAUUAUCAACACGUGGUGAAAAGUACAGUAAAUCUAAAAUGCACAUCAAAUCAACAGUGUAAUGUUUAGAUUCAGAAUGACAGUGCAUUCGUAAAAUAUUCAGGCCCCAUUAAUUCUAACAUAUUGACAUGCAUUGACUCAGGGGUGUGAAUACUUAUGUAUUUCAUUUUCAAUAAAUUUCAAAUUCAAUAAAUUUGAUUACAUUUCUAAAAACAUGUUUUCAAUGUCAUUCUGGGGUAUUUCAUUUAAAGUGCUCGAAAGCUUUUUUACUGUCAUUCUAUAUAUAUAUUUUAUAUUUGUUUCAUAGUACAGUUUCUUAAUUUUUUGUUUAGUUUAGUCACAUAAUCUCUCGAUUUACAGUACAUUUGAUGAUUAGCUGUCCAGCCAGACUUAUUUUCCAUUCCUUUUGACUCAUCAAAUCAAAUUUAUUUAUAUAGCCCUUCGUACAUCAGCUGAUAUCUCAAAGUGCUGUACAGAAACCCAGCCUAAAACCCCAAACAGCAAGCAAUGCAGGUGUAGAAGCACAGUGGUUAGGAAAAACUCCCUAGAAAGGCCAAAACCUAGGAAGAAACCUAGAGAGGAACCAGGCUAUGUGGGGUGGCCAGUCCUCUUCUGGCUGUGCCAUGUAGAGAUUAUAACAGAACAUGGCCAAGAUGUUCAAAUGUUCAUAAAUGACCAGCAUGGUCGAAUAAUAAUGAGGCAGAACAGUUGAAACUGGAGCAGCAGCACGGCCAGGUGGACUGGGGACAGCAAGGAGUCAUCAUGUCAGGUAGUCCUGGGGCAUGGUCCUAGGGCUCAGGUCCUCCGAGAGAGAGAAGUAGAGAAUUAGAGAACGCACACUUAGAUUCACACAGGACACCGAAUUGGACAAGAGAAGUACUCUAGAUAUAACAAACUGACCCCAGCCCCCCGACACAUAGCCUCCAGUAUUUAUGCUGCAGUAGUUUGAGACAGGAGGGGUCAGGAGACACUGUGGCCCCACCCGAGGACACCCCCGGACAGGGCCAAACAGGAAGGAUAUAACCCCACCCACUUUGCCAAAGCACAGCCCCCACACCACUAGAGGGAUAUCUUCAACCACCAACUUACCAUCCUGAGACAAAGCUGAGUAUAGCCCACAAAGAUCUCCGCCAUGGCACAACCCAAGGGGGGGUGCCAACCCAGACAGGAUGCCCACAUCAGUGAAUCAACCCACUCUGGUGACGCACCCCUUCCAGGGACGGCAUGAGAGAGCCCCAGUAAGCCAGUGACUCAGCCCCUGUAAUAGGGUUAGAGGCAGAGAAUCCCAGUGGAAAGAGGGGAACCGGCCAGGCAGAGACAGCAAGGGUGGUUCGUUGCUCCAGAGCCUUUCCGUUCACCUUCCCACUCCUGGGCCAGACUACACUCAAUCAUAUGACCCACUGAAGAGAUGAGUCUUCAGUAAAGACUUAAAGGUUGAGACCGAGUUUGCGUCUCUGACAUGGGUAGGCAGACCGUUCCAUAAAAAUGGAGCUCUAUAGGAGAAAGCCCUGCCUCCAGC
Molecule: long non-coding RNA, 6242 nt
Organism: Oncorhynchus masou masou (cherry salmon)
Lineage: Eukaryota; Metazoa; Chordata; Actinopteri; Salmoniformes; Salmonidae
Exons: 3
Source: RefSeq, a predicted model, not a curated record